AGUGAACGCUGGCGGUAGGCCUAACACAUGCAAGUCGAACGGCAGCACAGUAAGAGCUUGCUCUUACGGGUGGCGAGUGGCGGACGGGUGAGGAAUACAUCGGAAUCUACUUUUUCGUGGGGGAUAACGUAGGGAAACUUACGCUAAUACCGCAUACGACCUACGGGUGAAAGCAGGGGAUCUUCGGACCUUGCGCGAUUGAAUGAGCCGAUGUCGGAUUAGCUAGUUGGCGGGGUAAAGGCCCACCAAGGCGACGAUCCGUAGCUUGUCUGAGAGGAUGAUAGGCCACACUGGAACUGAGACACGGACCAGACUCCUACGGGAGGCAGCAGUAGGGAAUCGUGACCAAUGGGCGCAAGCCUGAUCCAGCCAUACCGCGUAGGUGAAGGAGGCCUGCGGGUGGUAAAGCCCUUUUGUUGGGAAAGAAAAGCAGCAGGUUAAUACCCCGCUGUUCUGACGGUACCCAAAGAAUGAGCACCGGCUAACUUCGU
RNAcentral lists this ribosomal RNA (491 nucleotides) under uncultured bacterium. RNAcentral's name for it is "partial 16S ribosomal RNA". It matches the Rfam family "Bacterial small subunit ribosomal RNA", at positions 29 to 506 of the family's 1533-position model. The record is from RNAcentral.